Molecule: long non-coding RNA, 742 nt
Filed under: Capsicum annuum
Lineage: Eukaryota; Viridiplantae; Streptophyta; Magnoliopsida; Solanales; Solanaceae
Description: long non-coding RNA (CANN_LNC017524)
Source: RNAcentral
CUGGUAGUUUUUUCUCUCUCUAGUUUAUCUACGAUUCUGCAGUUCUAAUUACUUUCUUCGUUUUGCUUGUAUGAUUUUGAGUUGGCACGGACUUUAAGAAAGUUAAAGAAGAUUUUUGAAUCUAUUGAGUCAAGGCGGAUUCUUUAAGUGUUUGGUGUAGGCAUCUAUGUACCAAAAUGCCUUUUAACCUUGUGGUCUGAAACAUGUCAUGUGGAAAGUUUUUUAACCUUGUGGUCUGAAACAUGUCAUGUGGAAAGUUUGAAAUUAAAGAGUUGUUAGAAAGGAAAGUGACAAAAGUUAGAAAAACAAAUUGAAAUAGGAGGGAGUAGUUUGAAGAUGGUAUCAACUAGUUGAGAUUAAAGCUUAGAUGUUUCUGGUAUGCUCUCAAGGUUGGGGUAGGAAAAAGUGUGGGGUUUUGGGGAAGGUGUAUUUUAGGUGAACACGUGAUUUGCCUUGAAUGAUAAAUUAUCUGCCAAGGAUGGAAUGAAUGAGUCUGAGUAGAAGGGAACGAAACAUAGGAUUCUUAUAGCUACUUCAACUAGUUGAGUGAUUGGUCAAUUUGAAGCGACUAGAAGUAAUUUAGAAAAUGCUUUUGAUAACUUUGGUCAAGUCAGGACCUUGACUUCUGUAUAAUGCUUACUAGAGAAGAUGUGCAUCCACUAGAGAUAAAUACAGGAAGUCCUUUUGAUGAAUAUUGGUCAAGUUAUGACCUUAACUCCGUAAUAUGUGCUACAUUGCCCUU